RNAcentral lists this ribosomal RNA (253 nucleotides) under uncultured prokaryote. RNAcentral's name for it is "partial 16S ribosomal RNA". It matches the Rfam family "Bacterial small subunit ribosomal RNA", at positions 547 to 777 of the family's 1533-position model. The record is from RNAcentral.
CCUCCUUUUUCUCGCUUUUUUCGGAAUCACUGGGCGUAAAGGGCGCGUAGGCGGCUUUGUAAGUCGGGGGUGAAAGCCUGUGGCUCAACCACAGAAUUGCCUUCGAUACUGCAUGGCUUGAGACCGGAAGAGGUAAGUGGAACUGCGAGUGUAGAGGUGAAAUUCGUAGAUAUUGGGUGGAACACCGGUGGCGAAAGCGGCUCUCUGGUCCGGACCUGACGCUGAGGCGCGAAAGCGUGGGGAGCAAACAGGA